Molecule: ribosomal RNA, 468 nt
Filed under: uncultured bacterium
Lineage: Bacteria
Description: partial 16S ribosomal RNA
Rfam family: Bacterial small subunit ribosomal RNA
Source: RNAcentral
GACGAACGCUGGCGGCGUGCUUAACACAUGCAAGUCGAACGGAAAGGCCCUGCUUUUGUGGGGUGCUCGAGUGGCGAACGGGUGAGUAACACGAGAGUAACCUGCCCUUGACUUUGGGAUAACUUCAGGAAACUGGGGCUAAUCCCGGAUAGGAGCUCCUGCUGCAUGGUGGGGGUUGGAAAGUUUCGGCGGUUGGGGCUGGACUCGCGGCUUGUCAGCUUGUUGGUGGGGUAGUGGCUUACCAAGGCUUUGACGGGUAGCCGGCCUGAGAGGGUGACCGGCCACAUUGGGACUGAUAUACGGCCCAGACGCCUACGGGAGGCAGCAGUGGGGAAUAGUGCACUAUGGGCGGAAGCCGGAUGCAGCAACGCCGCGUGCGGGAUGACGGCCUUCGGGUUGUAAACCGCGUUCGCCUGGGACGAAGCGUGAGUGACGGUAAUGGGUAAAGAAGCACCGGCUAACUACGUG